CUAGAACAGGGUGCAGCAGCAAUGGAUUCUGGGUAGACAAAACAACAGACGUUCUGCACAGAUCACCUUGGAAGCUGCUCUGACAUCCCGUCCUAGAGGAUCAAUCCAGGGAUGGCAGUGGACCCAGCCUGGGCCAACCAUGGUGCUCAGCUCUUCAUGCAAAACUCUUUCCUGCCCCCAGCUCAAAAUAAAGCAAAGGAGACCAUUACAAGCAUGACUAGAAGACAAUGUGAGUAUACUGAGCCCAGAUUUGAUCCCAUAAGUAAAUACGUGAGUACACAGGUGAAUAGCCAGACGCAGUGCAAGUCACACCAUGCAUUCAUGUAGGCAGAUACUGGACACACAGGUGAGAUUUCAUAGAGGAAGAAUGGCAUUCCAAGAGAGAGAACAGCUUGAGCAGAGAAUGAACCUGGCCAAGCCCUUGACAGUUUUAAAGAGUUUCCCCCAUUGUGACUGGAGUGUAGGGCACAUGACAGGGAGCAGCUGGGGAAGAGGCAAGAACCUGCUGGAGAGGAGCCUCACAUGGGUUGUGAAACUGUUCAGACUUCACUCUCAGGCAGUCAGGUGACCAGGCCAAUCAGGUGAGUGUGGGGAGAGCCCCAGAGCUAAUGCAAGUGCCUGGGGAGGCAGCAGGGGCUGUAUGUGAAGAUGUGCCAAACCGCUGGUGGAAGGCAGAUGUCCAGGAGGGGAGCCCAAGAGAGGAGGGAGGUGGGGAGUGGAGGUGCUAAAGACAGAGGAAAGCCAAGAGCCAGAAGUGGCAGUGCUGGCAAGUAGGACUCAAACAGAACGACUUCUGGAGCUUGGGUGAACUCUCACUGGCUCUGCCCAUCUCCUUGGAGGGAGCUCAAAGGACGCUCCCCGACCCAGGUCCACUUAAAAGGAUGUCCCUAGGUGAUAGGAAUUUUUCAGCCUUGUGAUGAUGUCAUGAGACCACUAUCACGUAUGCAGUCCGUCAUUGACCAGGACAUUGUUAUGUGGCACAUGACAUGUAUGGAAUACAUGCAUUGAAUCAUUUUUUACUAGCCACAUGGUAUAUUCCUAUGGAUUUCCCCCAACUUACUUAAUUAUUCCUCAAUAGAGGAAUAUGUAGAUUAUUUCUCAUUUUUCCUAUUACAAAUUAGGCUUUAGUAAGCAUCCUGGAACACAGGUAUGUGGAUGUAUGUCAUAAGCAAAGAUAUAUUUCUAAUAAUGAUCACAGGGCAUACAUGUUUUCAGUUUAGCAGAUAUUGCCUAAUUCUUCUCCAGAAAGGAUGUACCAAUUUAUAGUCCCAACAAAACUAUAGAAAGUGAAGUGCCUAUUUUCUUACCCACACUGGAUAUCGACAAUCUUCAAAAUCUGUCACUAUGCUAUUUCAUUUUUCUUUUAAUUUGUGUUCCUUUGAUUACUAGUGAGGUUGAUCAUCUUUUCAUCCAUUCAUCAGACACUUGUGUUUUUCCUUUUGCAAAUGGUCUGUACAAAUGAGAUUUAUCCAUUUUUCUAUCCUUUUUAUUGUUGAAUGCUAGCAGCCCUUCACAUAUUAUAGAAAUUCACACCUGUGUGCAUUCUCUGGCCCACCCUCAGUCUAUGUGAGUAUUUCUCUUCCUUACCCUUUUUUCCUUUCCUUCUUAUUUAGGAGUUUUAACCUUGUCACAUAAUCAUAUUUGCCAAUAAAUUCCUUCAUAAGAGCUGCGUUUCAUAUGACUUCAUGCUUGGAAAGGCUUUCCCAAUUUCAAGAUAAUAUUUCUUCUAAUACUUUAAUAGUUUCAUCUUUUGCAUGAAAGAAACUUUGAUCCAUCUGCAUUUGAUUUAUUUGGUGUUUGGAGUGUGGUAGGGAUACUAGGCUAGCUAGUUUUCCCCGUGCCAUCUGGUGAACUGCCAGUUUCUCACAAGUUUCAAAUGCCAACUUUUCUGUACACUAAAAUGUUAUAUAUUUCAGCCCCAUUUCCACAGAUAAGAAAACAAGCUCGAAGAGAUUAAGUAACUUGCUUGAGGCUACACAGUGAGCUAGUGACUAAGCCUAGAUUUGGAAACCAAGUCUAUGCUGCUCUCAGCACAACCUGCCAGACAAAGACAAACCAACGAGAUUCAGCGGCUGGCUGGAGAGAAAAAGAACAAGUUGCUUCAAAAGUCAAGCUGGCAAUCGCACCACUGGCAGUUGGGAAAGUUGAUCUUUUAAGCCAGCUUUAAGACAAAAGAUGCUUAGUACAGUGAUGACUACAGUUUGGGAUAUGUGGCGCCCAGGUAGGGGAGCACCCAGCUGGAAAUUUCAGAACCAGAGUUUGGGAGCAGAGAUAGCAUCAUGGGCCCUGCUGGGGAGUCAGGGGAAUCAGAGAGGGGGAGGUGUCAAGGACAACUGCCAGGUUUCUGGUUUAGCCAGCAUGAAGACAGUAGGUGCCACUUCAAGGCGACUCAGAGGAGAAGCAGGUUGGGGGUGGGGGGCAUGGGCUGGAGAGUUCACUUUAGACCUGUCAGGUUGGAGGUGUUUGCUGAGCCUCCCAGUACGCAGUUAGAUGCACAGGCCUGGAGGUCAGCCUAAGCUCUUUCCUAAGGGAGAUAGAGUGUUGUGGUGAAAGAAGGGCAGGCCAAAAGGGACAUGGGACUCACCCCAUUUGAAAUGGAGAAAGGACCAUCCAUUGCUCAGGGAUAGAGCAGGGACACUGAAAGUCCUUAUGAAUGCUGGUGCCAAGAAGUAAGGAAUGUUAGGCCAAGCAAGGAAAUCUAUAAGCUGACCCAAAGUGACCAUCUAUAAAUGGUGAGUACACAUAUGAUUGCCCUACCUAACCCUAACCUUUGUUGGAAAGCUUUGUUGUCACACUCCUGGAGGCCAGGGGAGUUCAUUGUGCUGUCCUAAGGAGAAGGGGCUGGGUAAAGAGAGCCACAUGGCCUGCCCUCUCCUUGUAAGAGGCAAUCUCAGAUCACGUGUGACAUUGUGGUGGUAAAGACCCAGUUCAUAGGACCCAGAAAAGAAAGCUCCUGCUAAGUCUGGGAGUAAUAAAGUGUCUCUCCCUGAAGGCUGAUCUGGAUGGAUGGGUAGAAGUUGAAGGUCUCUAAGCAAGAUUAGUUGGGUAGGGAGAGGGCAGCCUGGAAACUCAGACAGAAUUUAGACCUGGUAGGGGCAGGAAACGGGACCCAUGAAGGUUUUUGAGCAAGGGAAUGACACUGAGAAGGUGGCAUUUGAGAAAGAAUUGUCUGGCUGGCGAAGUGAGACAAGGUGGGAGAGCCUGGAAGGUCCAGACGUGGCUUUGGGGGAAUGUUUGGCAGGUGCUUGGUGUAGUAUAGACACAGAGACAAAGAGAACUAGAACAGAAAUCUGUGAGGAGGAUCAAGACUUCCUGGGAGAGCUGGGUUUUGAAGAAUAAACACAAAUUUGCCAGUUGAGUCUUCUCCUACAUAGAAAUGCCUUUAUCUUUAGAAAUACAUAUUAAAAGGUCAAACAAUACAAAAGGUUACGUAGUAAAAGUAAAUCUCCAGUAUGACAGUGUUCCCUACCCCAAAGGCAGUCACUGUCCGUUGCUUCCAGCACAGAGUAGUCAGAGGCUUUGGUACUAACCUGCCCAGCCUGAAAUCUCAGCUCCAUCUCUUGCGAGUUUGGCAAGUAGCCUAACUUCUCUGUGCCUCAGUUUCCUCCUCCAAAUAAAGAGAAUGAUGAUUAUAGACCCUACAUCCAGAGCUGUUGAAAGAAUUAAAUGAAUUAAAGUAUGUGGAAGGUUCAGCGCAGUGCCUGGAGCAGAGUGGACACCCCGCGCACGCCUGUUACCCUCUGAGUGUUGAGCGUGUAUGUGUGUAAGCAGUUGGCGUGGAUGAGGAUGGAGUAAUAAUGCACACAGCAUGCUGGGAAUGUCAUUCAGCCAAGAAAAAAGCGUUCAAAAAUUCUAAUUGUCAUUGGUGUCAGUGUGGCAGAGUAGCCAGUCUCUAUCCUAGGAUGAUACUUAGCAGGUGUCCUCAAACUUUUUAAACAGGGGGCCAGUUCACUGUCCCUCAGACCGUUGGAGGGCCAGACUAGAGUUUAAAAAAAAAACUAUGAACAAAUUCCUACGCACACUGCACAUAUCUUAUUUUGAAGUAAAAAAAAAAACGGGAACAAAUACAAUCACACCACCGCAUGUGGCCCGUGGGCCAUAGUUUGAGGACCCCAGAGGUGUUGAACGAAUGAACGGGUGAAUCUCUCACCUUAUAGUCAUAGGUCGACUACAUCACUUCUAGACUUCUUGUUCUGAUUUUUUUUUUUUAAGUGCAAAAGUAAGAAGAGAAGGAUUUCUCUUUGUGCUAGAAUAUCUUUGGUAACUCCACCAUGAGCCCUUAUGCACAUCCCCUUUUCCCUGGAAACUGAACGCUUUGGAAAUAUAGAUCCCAGAAUUCCUUGCUAGCAGGGACCUGGUUAGAUCUCACCAAUGAGAGGUACUUUUGCAAGAUUUGGAAGCAAGAAGAGCAAAUGUGAGAUUUUUUGCAGUGGCUUCUAGUUCACUUGACAAUCACCUGAUUUUGUCUGCAGACAGCUGUGAUCUCCACUGCACCCUCUGUGGUUUCUGUAGCUUCCUGACUCCUGAAAGUCAGCAGCUGUCCUGAGAGCUACCACUAGUUUUCCUUUACUUUUGUUCCACCACCCUCUCAGCAGCUUUAAUUCCCUCUAAAACAGAUGUUUUAAGAAAGAUAAUAAUAAAAAUAAUCACUUUUAUAGCACUUUAAUAGUAUUCCAGGCAUUUUUCCAAACACUUUCUGUACAUUAAGCCACAUAAUCCUCACAUAAUUAUACGUAGGAUUAUCAUCACUCCCAUUUUCAGGGUGAGAACACUGAGGCACGAAGUUGCCCAAGGUCACACAGGUUUAAGUGAGAGACCUGAGAUUUGAACUCAGACAAUCUGGUUUUGAACUCAGACAAUCUGGGUGUGAGAUCAUGCCCAGAACAUAACUUCGAGGUGGCUUUUGUCACUAUAUAGUCUGUCAAUUCCCCUUCCUGCUUGAAAUACCUAGUAUGAGAUCUGUUUUACUGACUGGACCAUAAUUAAACUCUUUUUAUCAGGAAAGGAAAAUCUUCCCAGAACUCCACCUCAGGCUUUUACUCAUGUCUAGAGUGAAAGCUAGGUAGGUCACUUGCCUACCACAAACCCCAGCCAAUUGGCACAUAUAAAUGGGAUUACCAUAACAGGCGUAAGCUAUCCAUGACUCAUCCCCUGGAGCUGAGCAUAGUGCUGCCUCAUACCUGAACAAAGACAAGGAAAAUGACUGCUGUUUCUGCUACCCAGUGAUUUGGAGACUCCAGUCUAGUUUGGAUGGUCCUGAUAAGGAGAGUUGCACUGGAGUGGGGUUUGUCUUUUGGGCCUGGCUGAUGGUAAUAAUGAAUACCUAAGAAAAUGGCUUGAUGCUUGGGGUGAAAAGACAUUAGAAAAAAAAAUCAAUGUGUCUGUAUUGAUUUGAAGUGAGCAUUUGUAUUUUCUUCCCUGCAAGACUAGGCAUUCUUGGGACAUAUAAAAAGAUAGAAGUGCAGCAAAGUAAAGCAGGAACUAGAAAUUCUUUGUACAUUAUCGAGUGGACAAAAUAUUUCUCUCACAGAUGUUUUAAUAAAGAUAAUAAAAAUAAUCACUUUUAUAGCACUUUAAUAGUAUUCCAGGCAUUUUUCCAAAUGCUUUCUGUACAUUAAGCCACAUAAUCCUCACAUAAUUAUACGUAGGAUUUAUCAUCACUCCUAUUUUCAGGGUGAGAACACCGAGGCACAAAGUUGCCCAAGGUCACACGAGUUUAAGUGAGAGACCUGAGAUUUGAAUUCAGAAAAUCUGGAUAUGAAAAUAAAAAGACAAAAAAGAAAAGAAAAGAAAAGAAAAUCUGGAUGUGAGAUCAUGCCCAGAACAUAACUUUGAGGUGG
Molecule: long non-coding RNA, 5840 nt
Organism: Nycticebus coucang (slow loris)
Lineage: Eukaryota; Metazoa; Chordata; Mammalia; Primates; Lorisidae
Exons: 3
Source: RefSeq, a predicted model, not a curated record